This 450-nucleotide ribosomal RNA is filed under the name uncultured bacterium. RNAcentral describes it as "partial 16S ribosomal RNA". It matches the Rfam family "Bacterial small subunit ribosomal RNA", at positions 354 to 796 of the family's 1533-position model. The record is from RNAcentral.
GUGGGGAAUUUUGGACAAUGGGCGCAAGCCUGAUCCAGCAAUGCCGCGUGCAGGAAGAAGGCCUUCGGGUUGUAAACUGCUUUUGUACGGAACGAAACGGUCCGGGUUAAUACCCUGGGCUAAUGACGGUACCGUAAGAAUAAGCACCGGCUAACUACGUGCCAGCAGCCGCGGUAAUACGUAGGGUGCAAGCGUUAAUCGGAAUUACUGGGCGUAAAGCGUGCGCAGGCGGUUUUGUAAGACAGGCGUGAAAUCCCCGGGCUAAACCUGGGAAUUGCGCUUGUGACUGCAAGGCUGGAGUGCGGCAGAGGGGGAUGGAAUUCCGCGUGUAGCAGUGAAAUGCGUAGAUAUGCGGAGGAACACCGAUGGCGAAGGCAAUCCCCUGGGCCUGCACUGACGCUCAUGCACGAAAGCGUGGGGAGCAAACAGGAUUAGAUACCCGUGUAGUCC